RNAcentral lists this ribosomal RNA (450 nucleotides) under uncultured bacterium. Its description in RNAcentral is "bacterial SSU rRNA". It matches the Rfam family "Bacterial small subunit ribosomal RNA", at positions 954 to 1404 of the family's 1533-position model. The record is from RNAcentral.
AUGAUACGCGAGGAACCUUACCUAGGCUAGAAUGCGCGUGACCGGUCCAGAGAUGGACCUUUCCUUCGGGACACAAAGCAAGGUGCUGCAUGGCCGUCGUCAGCUCGUGCCGUGAGGUGUUGGGUUAAGUCCCGCAACGAGCGCAACCCCUAUCUUUAGUUGCCAGCACAUUAUGGUGGGGACUCUAAAGAGACUGCCUGCGCAAGCAGUGAGGAAGGUGGGGAUGACGUCAGGUCAUCAUGGCCCUUACGCCUAGGGCUACACACGUGCUACAAUGGGCGGUACAGAGGGUUGCUACCUGGUGACAGGAUGCCAAUCUCAAAAAGCCGCUCUCAGUUCGGAUCGAAGUCUGCAACUCGACUUCGUGAAGCUGGAAUCGCUAGUAAUCGCGUAUCAGCAAUGACGCGGUGAAUACGUUCCCGGGCCUUGUACACACCGCCCGUCAAGCCA